RNAcentral lists this ribosomal RNA (254 nucleotides) under uncultured bacterium. Its description in RNAcentral is "partial 16S ribosomal RNA". It matches the Rfam family "Bacterial small subunit ribosomal RNA", at positions 524 to 776 of the family's 1533-position model. The record is from RNAcentral.
UACGGAGGGGGCAAGCGUUGUUCGGAAUUACUGGGCGUAAAGGGCGCGCAGGCGGCUGCUCAAGUCAGGCGUGAAAGGCCUGGGCUCAACCCGGGAAUUGCGCUUGAGACUGGGCUGGCUUGAGUGCGGGAGAGGAUGGUGGAAUUCCCAGUGUAGAGGUGAAAUUCGUAGAUAUUGGGAAGAACACCGGUGGCGAAGGCGGGUCUCUGGGCCGAUACUGACGCUGAGGAGCGAAAGCGUGGGGAGCGAACAGG